Molecule: ribosomal RNA, 519 nt
Filed under: Sepsis fulgens
Lineage: Eukaryota; Metazoa; Arthropoda; Insecta; Diptera; Sepsidae
Also listed under: 1 other name
Description: partial 16S ribosomal RNA
Rfam family: Bacterial large subunit ribosomal RNA
Source: RNAcentral
AAACAUGUCUUUUUGUGAUAUUUUUAAAGUCUAACCUGCCCACUGAAUAAAUUUAAAUGGCCGCAGUAUCCUAACUGUGCAAAGGUAGCAUAAUCAUUAGUCUUUUAAUUGAAGGCUGGUAUGAAUGGUUGGACGAGGUAUUAACUGUUUCAAAUAAAUUUUUAAUAGAAUUUUAUUUUUUAGUCAAAAAGCUAAAAUAUAUUUAAAAGACGAGAAGACCCUAUAAAUCUUUACUUUUUAAUUAUUUUAAUUAUAAAGAUAAAUUUUAUUAUAAUAAGUAAAAAAGUUUUAUUGGGGUGAUAUUAAAAUUUAAUAAACUUUUAAUUUUUUGAAACAUAAAUUAAUGAAUAAUUGAUCCAUUAAUAGUGAUUAAAAAUUUAAGUUACUUUAGGGAUAACAGCGUAAUUUUUUUGGAGAGUUCUUAUCGAUAAAAAAGAUUGCGACCUCGAUGUUGGAUUAAGAAAAAAUUUAGGUGCAGUCGCUUAAAUGUUAAGUCUGUUCGACUUUUAAUUUCUUACA